Molecule: non-coding RNA, 267 nt
Organism: Rattus norvegicus (Norway rat)
Lineage: Eukaryota; Metazoa; Chordata; Mammalia; Rodentia; Muridae
Source: RefSeq, a predicted model, not a curated record
UAGAGUUCUCACAUUUCUCACAUAGAGCCCACCCUUCUGACAUCGAUGCACUGAUGAUGAGUUUUCCAGCACGUGAAGUCUAUGUGAUACAUUCAAACGAUGCUUGAUGCCGGACGCUGUUCCGGAAGACGCCUCAGUGUCACGUGCUACAAACAUCCCACUCCGUGCAUUUCUCUGCCUGUAGGAGCGCUUGACAGCAAAGCCAAAACGGGAAACAGUUGGUUCUUCAUGAUGUUUUUCCAAUAAAGAAUUGGAGUUGAAUCAUCA